Molecule: ribosomal RNA, 459 nt
Filed under: uncultured bacterium
Lineage: Bacteria
Description: partial 16S ribosomal RNA
Rfam family: Bacterial small subunit ribosomal RNA
Source: RNAcentral
CCUACGGGAGGCUGCAGUGAGGAAUAUUGGUCAAUGGGAGAGAUCCUGAACCAGCCAAGCCGCGUGAGGGAAGACGGCCCUAUGGGUUGUAAACCUCUUUUGUCGGAGAACAAAACCCGGGACGUGUCCCGGACUGCGUGUAUCCGAAGAAAAAGCAUCGGCUAACUCCGUGCCAGCAGCCGCGGUAAUACGGAGGAUGCGAGCGUUAUCCGGCUUUAUUGGGUUUAAAGGGUGCGUAGGCGGUCCGUUAAGUCAGCGGGAAAAUUGCGGGGCUCAACCCCGUCGAGCCGUUGAAACUGGCAGACUUGAGUUGGCGAGAAGUACGCGGAAUGCGCGGUGUAGCGGUGAAAUGCAUAGAUAUCGCGCAGAACUCCGAUUGCGAAGGCAGCGUACCGGCGCCAGACUGACGCUGAGGCACGAAAGCGUGGGGAUCGAACAGGAUUAGAUACCCCUGUAGUC